Molecule: ribosomal RNA, 545 nt
Filed under: uncultured Symploca sp.
Lineage: Bacteria; Bacillati; Cyanobacteriota; Cyanophyceae; Coleofasciculales; Coleofasciculaceae
Description: bacterial SSU rRNA
Rfam family: Bacterial small subunit ribosomal RNA
Source: RNAcentral
UAAGAGCUCACCCAAGGCAACGAUCCAGUAGCUGGUCUGAGAGGACGAGCAGCCACACUGGGACUGGACACGGCCCAGACUUCCUACGGGAGGCAGCAGUGGGGAAUUUUCCGCAAUGGGCGAAAGCCUGACGGAGCAAGACCGCGUGAGGGAGGAAGGCUCUUGGGUUGUAAACCUCUUUUCUCAGGGAAGAAAACUGACGGUACCUGAGGAAUAAGCCUCGGCUAACUCCGUGCCAGCAGCCGCGGUAAUACGGAGGAGGCAAGCGUUAUCCGGAAUUAUUGGGCGUAAAGCGUCCGCAGGUGGCUACUCAAAUCUGCUGUCAAAGACUGGGGCUUAACUCCGGGCAGGCAGUGGAAACUGACAGGCUAGAGUGCAGGAGGGGUAGAGGGAAUUCCCGGUGUAGCGGUGAAAUGCGUAGAUAUCGGGAAGAACAUCGGUGGCGAAGGCGCUCUACUGGACUGCAACUGACACUCAGGGACGAAAGCUAGGGGAGCGAAUGGGAUUAGAUACCCCAGUAGUCCUAGCCGUAAACGAUGGAUACU